AAUAUGAGUGUUACAAAAUGCUUGAGUCCUGUUGUUUGGCCAGUUUGAAUUUACCCCAUUCAGAGGUAACAAAUUGUUGUAGUUGUAAGGUACAAACGUUCGGUAUAAACGUCCAAAAGAUCAAGGAAUGAAUGCACCUUCCAACUGCAACAAUUGUCUUCCUUUGAAUGGGGUAAUUCAAACUUGUUAAACGGCAGAACUCCAGCAUUCGAUGAGCAUCUUGAA
Molecule: microRNA precursor, 225 nt
Filed under: Medicago truncatula (barrel medic)
Lineage: Eukaryota; Viridiplantae; Streptophyta; Magnoliopsida; Fabales; Fabaceae
Description: miR2592bp stem-loop (mtr-MIR2592bp)
Source: miRBase by way of RNAcentral